UUUUUUUUUUAUAAUUUUUAGCGUUUGAAUUUUUCAUUUAAGUCGAUUAGUUUGCAUGUUAUUUCACUUUAAAGUUUUGAUUUUUUUUACCUAUAUAUAUGUAUAAAACGGGUAGACUUGUAAUACAGGUAGUUAAUUGCAGCGGUUAUGAUGUCACGUAAAGACACACGGCGAUUAUUGACGAUUACUGUCAGAUAAGAUUUAUAAAUAAUGGUUUUUAGACACAUCGUUGUCACCUAGACUGAUAUCUACGGAUACGCGAUUUCUUAGUAAACAUGAAGCCGUUUUAUUUUCAUAUCAAAAUAUUUUAAAUAAUACUUUGAUAUGAAGAAAAAUUAUUUAAGUUCUCUGGAAUUUUAGUUUAUCAACUGUCACACUAAUCUUUGUAGUAUAACCUAAUUGUCAUUUAUUGAUAUCGUGUAUCCAAGUUUUGUGUGGUUACUUAAGUGUGUAAUUUUCUAUUGAAUCAUAGAAAGUACAUCGUUUUUUUCAACUGAAAUGUACGAUUAACAUGCAUUAAAUAUAACUCUUGAUUUAUUGGUAAAACACAAAAAUCAUUUUAGUUCUGAGAAACAGAAGAAUACUUAUUGUGAUUGUGCUUUGAAACGUUUAAACUGAUAUUGUCUAUACUUAUGAAUUAGCUUUGAUUUACCGAACGUUCGUGGAUUGGAACAACCAAAUUUGUGAACUCACAAUUUGUAUUCAAAUCAAUUUAAACAUAUUUUCUUACUAGAAAACCUGCAUGAUUAAAAUUUGUUUUGUAGAAAAACAUAAAGUUCUCAAUAAACUUAAUUUUAACUUGGAUUUCUGCUAUUUGAUGAUUUUGUAUUGUUGCCAUUUAUAUUUUCAAGCAUACAUUUAAGAAACUAGUAUAAUUUUCCAAUGAAAUCUGUUACUGCAAAUAGAUUUUUUUAAUCUAGUUUAACCUCAUAUUUUUUGGUUAAGUAUGA
Daktulosphaira vitifoliae (grape phylloxera) is the source of this 950-nucleotide long non-coding RNA. RefSeq lists it as uncharacterized. The record is from RefSeq and is a predicted model, not a curated record. The transcript has 3 exons. Lineage: Eukaryota; Metazoa; Arthropoda; Insecta; Hemiptera; Phylloxeridae.